RNAcentral lists this unclassified non-coding RNA (320 nucleotides) under Hevea brasiliensis (rubber tree). The record is from RNAcentral. Lineage: Eukaryota; Viridiplantae; Streptophyta; Magnoliopsida; Malpighiales; Euphorbiaceae.
GACCAUCUUUGGGAGCAAAAGACAGUGUUUCUAUGUUAAGUGGAAGAAGAUAAGCAGAGAAACUGGCAACCCCACAACCAACAUCAAGCACUUGAUAUAUCCCUGCCGCACGCAAGUCACCUGUCUCAUCAGUUGUCAUAUUUCCUAAUCUCUCAAUAUAUUCUGUAGCUCCAUGCUUAAAAUGAGUUCCACCGCCUGGAAACCACCAAAGCUGAUCCUUCUCAUGUACCCAAUUUUGUCCUCCUUUUACCUCCGCAAGACGUGUAUGGUUUAUAUUACUCCGCCAUACAUAGUCCCUGCUAGUUGGCCACCUUAUUGGU